UUUGUAGUUUUUAAACUUAGUCUUUAUGCAUUUUGAUGCCUUUAUCUUCAUGUACUUUCCUUUAUCUUUAAUAUAAUGAGUUUAUUUUGGACAUUUGAUGCCUUUGUUGAGGGGGAGCUCAUUUUAAGGGGGAGAUUUCUUUUCUUUAUUCUUUUUGUUUCUGAUCAAAAUAGGGGGAGAAGAAAUUUAUUAAGGAGAAUAAACUUGAACAGGUACUACUAACCUUGUUGCUGUUUUUAGUUUGUAUGUAUUGCAGGUAAAACUAAGUUGCUUUUAAAAGAAUUUUUGAUCAUCAUCAAAAAGGGGGAGAUUGUUACCAAUAAAGGAGUAUUGGUAAAACCUGAAGACAAGUUUUGAUGAUGCUGCAAAUUGUAAUUUUUGUUUGUAAUAGGAGAAUAUUUAAAAGCAACUUGUAGUCUCUUGAAUGUAGUAGGAAAAUAAUUAACAUUGUAAUUUCUACUGAUAUAAUCGAUUAUGGACAUGCUAUAAUCGAUUAUCAUAUGCUUUUGAACUACAAUAAUCGAUUAUCAUGAAGUAAUAAUCGAUUAUCACAAGUCUCACUUGAAUAAUCGAUUAUCACUUACAAUAAUCGAUUAUCACUUUUUGAAUUUUCUAUAACGGACUUGAAUAAUCGAUUAUCACUUACAAUAAUCGAUUAUUCAUGGCAGUUGUGAGCUGACCUUUGGCAUUCAGCGUGUUUGGCUAUUUAAGUGAUUUUUGAAAGCCUCAGAAGAAACAUUUUGAGUAAACUGAGAAAGCCAGAACACUGAGUAGUUAGAGGAACGUUCUUGAGAGCUUUUGUUUACUUGGUUCCCUUGCUUGGUCUUGUGAAAGGAGAGGCUCGCGUAUCGUGUGUCGAUAGUCGGAGCAGACUCUCUUCGAGUUAGCAAGGUUCCCUUGCCUGGUCUUGUGGAAGGAGAGGCUUACGUAUCGUGUGCCGAUAGUCGAAGUGGACUCUCUUCAAGUUGGCAGGGCUCUCUACCUGGUCUUGUGUAAGGAGAAGCACGUGAAUCGUGUGUCGAUUGCCGGUGCAGGUUCUCUUCAAGUUGGUAGAGUCGUUUCUUUCAUUCUAUUCCUGUUUAUUAUCUUGUAAUCUGUUAAACCAAUUUUUAGUGGAACUGUUAAUCAUUAUUUGUGUUGUUCUUAUAGUUCUUUAGGUUCUGACACAUGUAUAUACCAUUUCUUUUAUGCAUCUUUAGUUUCCUUAUUUAGUUUUACUUUUAGUUUUCGUGCUCCAUUAAAUCAUAUCAUGUGUAGGUUAGUUUUUAGCUACUGUAUGCUUAGUUAGAUUUUAUCUUUUUCAUACUUUAGUUUAGGUUUUAUUUCCUUACAUAUUCUUGCUUUAUUUUCUUUUAAAACAGAUUUAAUUUCUUAUUACUUUUUUCUCUUUGAUUUCUUAGUUUUCAAAUAAAGUUCUUUUCCCCACCUAUUUGAUAGAUAAUAAAUAAAUAAAAUACAAGAACUAACCUUACAUUCUUAAAACUUAAUUGUACCGAGUUUGCGGAUUGAUUCCCUGGUUGCCCUAUACUACAUUAGUGGGGACUAGGGUUUGUUGACUUUUAGCACGACAUAAAAGCCUUUCAACAAGUAUGCAUAUUAAUGUUUUAAAUGACAAAACUACUUGCACAAAGCAUAUCUAUAUGAAGUAAUCUAUUGAAGUGUUUAUGUAAUAAAUUAGACUCAUCACAUAUUAGGUAAUGCUUAAUUGUGGCAAACUACAAGUUUUAACUGAUUACAUUAUAUGUAUAAUCGAUUAAAACAUGUGCCUUUGCUACCAACAGUUUGUUAAGUG
This 1792-nucleotide long non-coding RNA is filed under the name Vigna radiata. Its description in RNAcentral is "long non-coding RNA (VRAD_LNC015266)". Lineage: Eukaryota; Viridiplantae; Streptophyta; Magnoliopsida; Fabales; Fabaceae. The record is from RNAcentral.